Molecule: small nucleolar RNA, 133 nt
Organism: Tachyglossus aculeatus (Australian echidna)
Lineage: Eukaryota; Metazoa; Chordata; Mammalia; Monotremata; Tachyglossidae
Source: RefSeq, a predicted model, not a curated record
AACCUCUCAGAGUCGCACCUGGAGAGUUUCCAGUAUUCUACCAGUCUCAACUACGGGAAGGAGAGUCGAGCAAAGGCAUUUCCAUUCCUAGCUUGGGCAGUGGCUAGUGAGUGGAAGGCAAUCUGCUACAAGU